GACGAACGCUGGCGGCGUGCUUAACACAUGCCAGUCGAACGGAAAGGCCCUGCUUUUGUGGGGUGCUCGAGUGGCGAACGGGUGUGUAACACGUGAGUAACCUGCCCUUGACUUUGGGAUAACUUCAGGAAACUGGGGCUAAUACCGGAUAGGAGCUCCUGCUGCAUGGUGGGGGUUGGAAAGUUUCGGCGGGUGGGGAUGGACUCGCGGCUUGUCAGCUUGUUGGUGGGGUAGUGGCUUACCAAGGCUUUGACGGGUAGCCGGCCUGAGAGGGUGACCGGCACCAUUGGGACUGGGAUACGGCCCAGACUCCUACGGGAGGCAGCAGUGGGGAUUAUUGCACAAUGGGCGGAAGCCUGAUGCAGCAACGCCGCGUGCGGGAUGACGGCCUUCGGGUUGUAAACCGCUUUCGCCUGUGACGAAGCGUGAGUGACGGUAAUGGGUAAAGAAGCACCGGCUAACUACGUG
RNAcentral lists this ribosomal RNA (468 nucleotides) under uncultured bacterium. RNAcentral describes it as "partial 16S ribosomal RNA". It matches the Rfam family "Bacterial small subunit ribosomal RNA", at positions 28 to 507 of the family's 1533-position model. The record is from RNAcentral.